Molecule: long non-coding RNA, 342 nt
Filed under: Bos taurus (domestic cattle)
Lineage: Eukaryota; Metazoa; Chordata; Mammalia; Artiodactyla; Bovidae
Description: long non-coding RNA NONBTAT021860
Source: RNAcentral
UUAUUUUUAAACCGUAGCAGUCUUUGCCUCAAUGUGUAUUUCCAGAUAUAAGCCAGGAUGACUUCCAAGAGCUCGAGAAAUAUGUUCCUGGUCUGUUCUGACAGAGGAGUCCUCAUUUCCACUGGUCAAGAGAAAAUAACUCUAAUCCUAGUAAAUGGAAACUACACAUGGCCUAAGGGGGACUGAAGCUCGGUCGAAUUUACGCAAAAUUGCUCUUUUCUCAGCAAGUUCUUUUUCACAUAAUGAGCUGACAAGCUUAUUAACAAAAUAUGAGGAAUGCCUGCUUUAGCCUGAACAGAUUUACACACAAAGUGCACUUUCUAGAAUCAAGUGAGCUAGAUC